Molecule: ribosomal RNA, 378 nt
Filed under: uncultured bacterium
Lineage: Bacteria
Description: partial 16S ribosomal RNA
Rfam family: Bacterial small subunit ribosomal RNA
Source: RNAcentral
CCUACGGGGGGCAGCAGUGGGGGAUAUUGCACAAUGGGGGGAACCCUGAUGCAGCGACGCCGCGUGGGUGAAGGAGCGUUUCGGCGCGUAAAGCCCUAUCGGCAGGGAAGAAGAUGAUGGUACCUGACCAAGAAGCCCCGGCUAACUACGUGCCAGCAGCCGCGGUAAUACGUAGGGGGCAAGCGUUAUCCGGAUUUACUGGGUGUAAAGGGGGCGCAGACGGCAAUGCAAGCCAGGAGUGAAGGUGAGGGGCCCAACCCCGGGACUGCGCUUGGAACUGCAUGGCUGGAGUACGGGAGGGGAAGGCGGAAUGCGUAGUGGAGCGGUGAAAGGCGUAGAUAUCAGGAGGAACCCCGGUGGCGAAGGCGGCCUACGGGA